GCGGGAGUAGUUUAGUGGCAGAACUUCAGCUUCCCAAGCUGACCGUGCGGGUUCGAUUCCCGUCUCUCGCUCCA
Molecule: transfer RNA, 74 nt
Filed under: Clostridia bacterium
Lineage: Bacteria; Bacillati; Bacillota; Clostridia
Description: tRNA-Gly
Rfam family: tRNA
About the family: Transfer RNA (tRNA) molecules are approximately 80 nucleotides in length. Their secondary structure includes four short double-helical elements and three loops (D, anti-codon, and T loops).
Source: RNAcentral